Alligator sinensis (Chinese alligator) is the source of this 2209-nucleotide long non-coding RNA. RefSeq lists it as uncharacterized. NCBI's taxonomy places the organism in Eukaryota, Metazoa, Chordata, Crocodylia, Alligatoridae. The record is from RefSeq and is a predicted model, not a curated record. The transcript has 2 exons.
ACCACGGGAGAUGUAGUUGCUCGCGCCUCCCCCGCGCAGAGCGAAGCGAAUAACGCGAUAGUGGGCAGCCUUUCAGGCGCGUGUCGAGGGCUUGUUGCGACUCCCCGUGGAGGUGUCGUUAGAACUCUUCUGUUCUCAUCUGGCGAAAAUACCUAAGUUGCACGAGAGGCUGCAUCUCGGGCAGCGCCUUCCCCGGGGCCUGCGUGCAAUGUUCCCUCUAAGGAGUAGCGGCUGCCACACUUCAUAGCCCACUGGCCUUCUCUUCUGGAUGACCUCACGUGCAUGCGUCAUGCCCUGUUGCCCAGAAUUGACAUCAAGAGGCUCCAGGAUCCACUGGUCGAUCCCAGUCAACUGAUUGGCGACCACUGCAAUGCGCGAACAUUAGAAGGGCCAGCAUUCUAUCCCAGCAUCUAGGAUCCUUCCCUAUGAUUUUUGUGGCAGGCUUGCUGGUAACAGUCCAGCACGUAGGACUCAGAGAAGCUUGAUUGUGAUUGGUGAAGCAUUCCCACCAAUCAGGUAUCUGCUGGGGAGGGGCUUGCCCUGCCCCUACCAAGGGUGAAGUGAAGAGCUCGGACCUGGUUGAAGACUGCACUCCACCUCAUCCCAAUUGGUCCAUUUACAGUCUGGGGGCGAAGCCUCCAGAGGGAAUAAAAGAGAGGCGUACUCAGCAUAUGGGCAGCUGCGACGAGGGAUAGAGAAGAGAGCGGGCAAGGAAGAGCUGGCCAGCAGGGAGGAACAGUUGCCCUGAAGAGCCUGAAGACCUCUUUGCCAGAUGAGUGGCAAGUGACCGCCUCCCCAGCCCUGCCACUAGGAGCACGGUGUCGGUGCACAGCUCGGUGCAUGGUGCAAGACUCUGGGAGCUGCAUGAGGCAGCGUGGGUCUCCAACCCCUGACACGAGGCCAGGCACUCGGUGUAUGGCGGGUCUGGGAACAGACCAAGACCCUGGGAGCCCUCAAGGGGCUCAGGUUUCCCACCCCUGGUACAGGCAGUAGGUAGAUGGCCGGUGUACAAGCAGUCCAGGAGCGGACCGAGCCCCCCAGAGCUGCACAAGACGGCCAGGGUCUCCAACCCCGAGCAAAAGGAUAAAGCCCUUGGUGCACAUGAUGGUGCACAGGGCCCUGAGCAGGCCAGCAGCCUAGAGGGAGCCCAAGGCAGCUGGGACCUUGGCAAAAGGGGCAGCAACUUGCCCAGGGAGAUGAGGACCACCCACCAGGCCCCUGGAGGCAUGAGUUACUGGGGAAAGGGAUUCCCACAGGGGAGGGGAAAUUCACCAAGGGCCAGUGAAGCUGCCCCCCUGUAGGGAAGCCCAGGGAGGAGAAGGCUUCCUGGGUCUAGAGUUUUUUUCGCUUGAGAGCUAUUUCAGUUGGGUUGUGGAAGGGUCUGAAGGGCACUGGGGAAUCUCCUUCUUGACACUCGAGUGCAGUCACUGCUCCAGAACAGCCUGGGCUCUGGGUGUCCCUGAAAGAUGGGGGUUAGUAUUGGUUGUUCUUGCGCCUUAUAUUUUGUAUGUUAGCGCCUCAUAUUUUGUGUAUUUGUAUUUCAUGAUUGUGAGCUUAUAUUUUAGCAGAGUUUAAUUUGCCAUUAUCUUUAUUGAAACCCUUAUACUCGUUCUUUCGUAUUACUUACCUAUGUUCUGAGUGGUGGUAAAGAAUUAUAUGUGUAUAUAUAUUGCAUAUAGUUCAUGUUGUAUAUAUCUGUUUAUAUUUAUACUAUUUCUGUUAGGGUUUAUGGUAUCAAUACAUUUGUACAUCGUUAAGUUACUGGAGUGUCUUGGUUAGCUCUAUAGGGGAAGGAGGGAAACUGUGCUCAGCCUGCAGUUUCUACCCACAGCACACCUGCCCUGCUAACAAUCCCCUUCAAUUGGAGAAGGGAGUACAUACCCGAGUAUACCCAGGCUACAUUUUCUUUAUCAUUGCUUUCAAGGUUCCAUUGCACCGCUCUACUAAUCCAUCCAUUUGAGGGUGAUAAAUGGAGAUCUGCAGCCUCUUAAUGUGCAGUAUUUUGCAGACUUCGCAGUACAUGAAAUGAAAUCUAUGAGAGCCCAUAAACUCAGUUGCCUACAUGAAAUUAAUUUUCCCUCCAUUAUUUCAAAGCUGAAAAAAAUGUUACAGUCGGAACAAAAUUUGAAUUUAUACUGACCUACCUGGAUAGCAGAUGUAUAACAGCCAAAAUAAUUUCCUAUUUCAGACACUAACAAGAUGGAUACUU